UUACAAACGAUGAAAGAGAUAAAGUAGCGCUUUGUGGUUACAAUAUAGAGAGUAGGCUGGUGGGUGAAAAGUCUAUAGUACAUAAAGUUGUGAAUUACACUCGGGAGUUUCAAUGGGAAAUCAUUGCGGCAGUCAACCGAUAUAUUGACAAAGAGGCAUCUUUGGAAUAGAUGCAAAUUAAGGUGGUACCACGGGUCUUACUCGUCCUUAGC
RNAcentral lists this non-coding RNA (212 nucleotides) under Andreesenella acetica. RNAcentral describes it as "Clostridium aceticum T-box sequence". It matches the Rfam family "T-box leader". From Rfam's summary of the family: Uncharged tRNA acts as the effector for transcription antitermination of genes in the T-box leader family. Lineage: Bacteria; Bacillati; Bacillota; Clostridia; Peptostreptococcales; Natronincolaceae. The record is from RNAcentral.